CCUGAGAAACCCAAAAGAUCGAAUGGGGAGAUUCAUCGUCAGCUCAUUUUGUAUAUGUAUAAGUUAUGAUGCGGGUUACUACUUGUAGUAUUGCCUGCACAUUCUUGUAUAUUUAGUUGCAAGAUGUUGUCGGCGUGCACUUCUCCCCUAGUAGGACGUCGCGACCUGUUGGGUGUCGGUCUACGGCCCAAGUGAUAGUCUUUAAUGUAAUUUAAAAAUCAUUAAAGAUCCUUGGUGUUUUCUGACCGGCUACUUGGCAGUAUUCGUACGGUAUUUAGCCGCUAAAUUUAUUAAGCGUCCAUAUCCGUCACAAGCGAGGCUAAUUUACUGAUAGUACGGACCUAGUGCCGUCGUUGGUAUUGGCCAGCUGUUGGUUGUAUGGUAUUCUAGGACUGGCUAAAAUUUAAUUACCGGUCGGCGAUGCUACUGCUUUGGGUACUUUCAGG
Molecule: ribosomal RNA, 446 nt
Filed under: Aleiodes lipwigi
Lineage: Eukaryota; Metazoa; Arthropoda; Insecta; Hymenoptera; Braconidae
Description: LSU rRNA
Source: RNAcentral